This 2362-nucleotide long non-coding RNA is filed under the name Nicotiana tabacum (common tobacco). RNAcentral's name for it is "long non-coding RNA (NTAB_LNC014080)". Lineage: Eukaryota; Viridiplantae; Streptophyta; Magnoliopsida; Solanales; Solanaceae. The record is from RNAcentral.
GAGAAUUAUUGUUUAUGAAAGAAAAGGGUAAAUAAAAAGGGGGAGGGGGGAAUUGACUUAAUGAUGACGCCGAUAUAAGUUUGCUUGAGGAACACCCAUCUUUCUCUUCCUUUCCAGCGAGGGACAAAGUUCUAUUGUAAAUAGGAAUCAUUUGAAAUAUAUCUUUUUCCUCCAUUUUUGUUCACAUUUUACCUAAAAAAAAAAAUACAUCAUGCACAAAUUCUUAUGUGUGUGCGUGCGCGUGUGUUGGAAUUAUAAUGUCAUUUAUAAAUACGAAGGAUUGAAUUGGAUAAUGAGUCAUUUUUCAUUCACUGAAUAAAAAUGUAUGCAAAGAGUAGAUGAUAUGAAUAUCUGAAAUAAUAUGAUAAAAAUGAUCAAAACAAAAUAAACAAUUUGUUUUAUUUACCAAACUUAAACUGUUUUAUCAUCCUACUUAACAAAUUAAUAAUACAGUGCCUUUAAAUUUUUUUAGUUAAACUUAUUCUACCAACUAAUCAUUGUAUGUACAGGAACAUGCACAAACGAAAACAGAUCCUAAGCACACAAAGAAAGACUAAAACAUUUGCUUUGGUACUAUUUGUUAACGGAUGAAUCCAGAAACAUGCAUAGAGGAUAAAAUUAAGAAUAUAAAAUUUAUAUUGAUAAUCCAAGAAGAAAAGACUAUCAAAAUGCUGGACAAUCAGCUUUUUCUAAUUACAUAUCUAAUUUAAUAUAUGAAAGGGGUCCAACGAUAAACCGCCGACUAAAAAGAGUAUUAUUCUCCAUAAACUAUCAACAUGAAAGUAACCAAUAUAUUUAUACUCAUUAAAAGAAAAGGUUACUGUGUACUCAUAAUUAAAGACACAAAUUUGUAAGUAUAUAAAUAAUCAGUGGAAAUAUAAAUACUGAUCACUAAAUCAAAAUAAACAUUAAAAUAUACUCCAAUUGAGUAAAGUUAAGCAAUGAGAACAAUAUAACUCAAAAUGGGAACACGAAAUCUAAGAAAUAAAGGACAAAGAAGAAACAUAUCACACACACAAAUGCACAUGUAAAGUGACUCCUUAAAAGGAAUAGUUAUGAUUGUUAUUGUUCGCUUUCGUAAAAUGAAUAGUUGUGACUUUUACCAUUGACUUGACAACUCUUUGUAGGAAUAAGUUUUUUUUAUAGUUAAGUCAUUAAAAUGAUGUAAAAGGGUAUUUUAGUAAUUUAAUUUUUUAAUUUAAGGCUUCCCACUCUUAAUAUAAAAAUAAAUGAGAAAAGUAGAUAUUUUUUAUUUUUUAAAUAAAAAAUAAAAAAUAUAGGCGCCAUAACCAAUGUUUGGUAGCAACUGCAGUUUUCUAUUAAAUCUUGAUUAAUUGGAUUUCACAAACAAAGUUUUUAGGUAUUCUAGUUAGUAGUUACCACAAUACCAAAUCAAAUGGAAAACGAUUUAUUAUCCAUUUGAAGUGAUAAUCUUUUUUCUUCUAAAAAAUGAAUAUUAGUCAAUAUUAUGGGUAGACAAAUAUAGAUAUUGAUUACGUCUAGCAUCAUUAAUUACUCGUUAGUAUCCUUAAAGAAAAAUAUUUUGAAAGUUUUUUUCCCGAAGGGAGAGUCCUUUAGUAAUGGUUUUUAACACUUAAGAUUAACCUACGCACGCAUGAUUGUGUUAUAAAUUUCACACAUAUUUAUUUCUACCUUUUUUCUUACCAAAAAUUUCCAAAAGUAACUUCAAAUAUUCUGAAUUUCUUGUAUUUACAUAAAAUUUUACAAGAGUCAUAUUUAGCAUUGAAAACAUGCAAACUCUCUCUCUAAUAAUGAAUUAUCGAAAGUACUCUCUCAAAAAUUAUUAAUUAUUAAAUAUUUUAAACUAUAAUCAUGGGACAUCGAUUGAUGUUUAUAUAUUUUUUUACUAAUAAUACGUGUUACUAAAUAUUGAUAUAUUGGUAAUACUACAUAAUAAAGUAAUUAAAAUAAUUUAGGAGACGUUCGACAUUUGUAAUCAGAAAACGCAUCAAAUCUUUGUAGAUAACGAUACACAUCAUAAAAUUUCUUAAGACUUUAAUUCUUCUUAAAAACUAUGGUAUCCUUAUCAAUAGUGACAAAUAGAAAGUUAAACUUCAACCAAAGUAUACUGACAACUUACAACUCUUGUUGGAGAGAUAAAUCACAAGAAAUUCACCAAGGAACAAAAUUUUUGUUCGACGGUAGAGCCACCAAGUCAAGCGUCGUUUGAAAUUGGCCAGGCAAUAAAAUUUGAGUUCCAUGAUAAUAAGUGAUAAUAGAAGAGGAAAAAAAAUUGAAUAGUGAUUUUUCGUAAAGUUUUAGAAUUCUACUGAAGGAGAGCAUCCCUUCACAUGAAUAACAUAACCUAUUCCAGAAGCACACUCCUUCACAUGUAAUCGUG